RNAcentral lists this unclassified non-coding RNA (303 nucleotides) under plant metagenome. RNAcentral's name for it is "partial contains 5.8S ribosomal RNA, internal transcribed spacer 2, and large subunit ribosomal RNA". The stretch from base 1 to 105 matches the Rfam family "5.8S ribosomal RNA", at positions 50 to 154 of the family's 154-position model. The record is from RNAcentral.
GAAAUGCGAUAAGUAAUGUGAAUUGCAGAAUUCAGUGAAUCAUCGAAUCUUUGAACGCACAUUGCGUCCGCCAGUAUUCUGGCGGGCAUGCCUGUUCGAGCGUCAUUUCAACCAUCAAGCCCCGGGCUUGUGUUGGGGACCUGCGGCUGCCGCAGGCCCUGAAAAGCAGUGGCGGGCUCGCUGUCACACCGAGCGUAGUAGCAUACAUCUCGCUCUGGGCGUGCUGCGGGUUCCGGCCGUUAAACCACCUUCGUAACCCAAGGUUGACCUCGGAUCAGGUAGGAAGACCCGCUGAACUUAAGC